AACGAACGCUGGCGGCAUGCCUAACACAUGCAAGUCGAACGAGAUCUUCGGGUCUAGUGGCGCACGGGUGCGUAACGCGUGGGAAUCUGCCCUUUGGUUCGGAAUAACAGUUGGAAACGACUGCUAAUACCGGAUGAUGACGAAAGUCCAAAGAUUUAUCGCCAGAGGAUGAGCCCGCGUAGGAUUAGCUAGUUGGUGUGGUAAAGGCGCACCAAGGCGACGAUCCUUAGCUGGUCUGAGAGGAUGAUCAGCCACACUGGGACUGAGACACGGCCCAGACUCCUACGGGAGGCAGCAGUGGGGAAUAUUGGACAAUGGGCGAAAGCCUGAUCCAGCAAUGCCGCGUGAGUGAUGAAGGCCUUAGGGUUGUAAAGCUCUUUUACCCGGAAUGAUAAUGACAGUACCGGGAGAGUAAGCUCCGGCUAACUCCGUGCCAGCCGCCGCAGUAA
RNAcentral lists this ribosomal RNA (449 nucleotides) under uncultured bacterium. Its description in RNAcentral is "partial 16S ribosomal RNA". It matches the Rfam family "Bacterial small subunit ribosomal RNA", at positions 29 to 523 of the family's 1533-position model. The record is from RNAcentral.